UUGAACGCUGGCGGCAUGCCUUACACAUGCAAGUCGAACGGUAGAGGGGCAACCCUUGAGAGUGGCGGACGGGUGAGUAAUGCAUCGGAACGUGCCCAGUCGUGGGGGAUAACGCAGCGAAAGCUGUGCUAAUACCGCAUGUGAUCUGUGGAUGAAAGCAGGGGACCGCAAGGCCUUGUGCGAUUGGAGCGGCCGAUGUCAGAUUAGCUAGUUGGUAGGGUAAAAGCCUACCAAGGCGACGAUCUGUAGCUG
RNAcentral lists this ribosomal RNA (252 nucleotides) under uncultured bacterium. RNAcentral describes it as "partial 16S ribosomal RNA". It matches the Rfam family "Bacterial small subunit ribosomal RNA", at positions 30 to 289 of the family's 1533-position model. The record is from RNAcentral.